RNAcentral lists this ribosomal RNA (206 nucleotides) under uncultured Peptostreptococcaceae bacterium. RNAcentral describes it as "partial 16S ribosomal RNA". It matches the Rfam family "Bacterial small subunit ribosomal RNA", at positions 568 to 774 of the family's 1533-position model. Lineage: Bacteria; Bacillati; Bacillota; Clostridia; Peptostreptococcales; Peptostreptococcaceae. The record is from RNAcentral.
UGCGUAGGCGGUCUUUCAAGUCAGGAGUGAAAGGCUACGGCUCAACCGUAGUAAGCUCUUGAAACUGCAAGACUUGAGUGCAGGAGAGGAGAGUGGAAUUCCUAGUGUAGCGGUGAAAUGCGUAGAUAUUAGGAGGAACACCAGUUGCGAAGGCGGCUCUCUGGACUGUAACUGACGCUGAGGCACGAAAGCGUGGGGAGCAAACA